Molecule: ribosomal RNA, 361 nt
Filed under: uncultured eukaryote
Lineage: Eukaryota
Description: partial 18S ribosomal RNA
Rfam family: Eukaryotic small subunit ribosomal RNA
Source: RNAcentral
CAAUAGCAUAUAUUAACGUUGUUGCAGUUGAAAAGCUCGUAGUUGAACUUUUGGUAGGAGCGACCUGGCCUUGGGCGCAUGCCCUUGUUUGCCGUGUGUCGUAUCUGGCCAUCCUUUUCUUCUUUUUGGAAGGAAUCUUUUACUGUGAGUAAACUGGAGUGCUCAAAACAAGACGUUUGUUUGGUACAUUAAAGCAUGGAAUAAUAAGAUAGGACCUGGUUACUAUUUUGUUGGUUUGCAUAGCUAGGUAAUGAUUAACAGGGACAGUUGGGGGUAUUCGUAUUUAAUUGUCAGGGGUGAAAUUCUUGGAUUUAUGAAAGGCGAACGACUGCGAAAGCAUUUACCAAGGAUGUUUUCAUUA